GGAGAGGGGAGAGGCAGCCCAAGGGCUCGGGACGGAUGAGGUCAGGGAGGGGCGGGCAGCGUCCAAACCACCCGCCAGGCUGCAGAUAUCUGAGGCCCUGCCUUACCAGCUUCUGCAUCCGGGAUCUCCAAACGUCCAUGGGCUCUCUGAGUGCCACACCGCUGCGGCCCUGGCAGAGAAAUGGCAAGCUUUUGAGGGUGCAAAAGACCCCCUUCACUUACCAGGAGGAGCCCUCUCCAUCCCCCCUCCCCCCCAUUGACACAGACACACUUAUUUUGUAGACGUGCGCGCCGUGGCUGUCUUAUCAGGGACUGAGGCUUUGGGGCGCUUAUCAGCCCCGGCAGGCAAGUAGGCAGGCAGGCAGACGCCCAGCCCUGCAGCAGGCCCCAGCAGCUCUGCCCUUCCUGCCCUGGGUGGAGGGGAGCACAGGGAACCCAGGCCGGGUGCACUCUUCACAUGCCCCGCAGCAUUGGGGAGAAACCCAGCAGAAGGGACCAGCAGGCCCCCUUCCCAGAGCGGGCUAGGGAUGGAGCACCCCAGGGUGGGCUGGCUCCUCUCAGAAGGUUCCCGCAGGUUAGCCCGGCCCAGGAAGAGAGAGGACACGCUCCGGAGGCGUCAGACUGCACCCCCUGGCUAGCGAUGCCGCGGAGGGCAUCAGGUUGGGGAAUCCUGCAGCAGUCAGGUGGUUCAGGUCCUGAGAGUCCUUUCGGACACGUAAAAAGACGGCGUGUGCAAAAUUAAGAGGCGUACGAAAUGAUGCCUGGAGUGCAGAGGGCGAGAUUCGUUUUCUCCCAUCUGACCAGAACCCAACGGGGUCAUGAUCCCGUGAAGGUGGGUGGCAGAAGAUUCAGGACAGAAGAACGGAAGGGCUCCUCACACAGGACACGAAGGAGGCCAUUUGCGACCCUAACAACACGAGGUGGGGAUGGCUUUGAAAGGGGUUGGAGAAAUUCCUGGAGGAGGAGAAGGUGGCGAUCCGUGGCUCCUAGUCCUGAUGGCGAAGUCCAACCUCCAGUCUCCAAAGCAGUAAGCACCAGUUGCUGGGGAACAUGGGCGGGAGGGUGCUGUUGCACCAUGUCCUGCUUGUGUGUGUCCUAUGGGGCAGCCGGGCAGCCACUGUGGCCGUUGUGGCAACAGAGCACUGGACCAGAGAUGGACCCUGGGUCUGGCUCAGCCUCGGGGCUCUUCUGAUGGUCUUCGCAAUAUUUAACUUCCGUAUUUGUUAUUGUUUCCUCUCUUUAUGCCUGCAAUUCAGAGCCAGGAUGAUGCAACCGGAGGCGGGAGUGCCGCUUUCAACACCCACUGGACCUCCUGCAGCCACGGCGAUGAUAGCGGGUUCCACCCCCCCACACACACACACACACCCCACAGCCGUAAAUGUUGGCUGUGCUGUUGUUGUUUUUCAGGGGCUGAAAAUACGUUUUUUAUACCCACGUUCCAGAGGGGGCCAUGAAAACCAGCAGAGGUCAGUUGAACCAAGCAAGGCUGGAGUGGCGAAGUUUGCAACCCUUCCCAUCACACAGAACCCUCCAUUCAGGAGCGACAUUGAGAGAGAGCUCAGUGACAGGUGAAAGACUGCAGGAUGAGAUACAGAGCGACAUGCACCCGGGAGAAGACGUGCAGCUUCAGCGGAAUGGAGGCCGGGUUGUUCAGACAGCACGGAUCUGAAAUGCACACGAAAUCUGAACUUUUGGGAGUAUUCAGUUAGAGUCAGGGGUUGAAUCCUGUACUAUAUGCAAAAGGGGGCCGCGGGGCUCCUGUUCCUUUAAUAAUCAUGUAGAAAAGGGAAUUUCAAUGGUUGUGUGGCUACGACAGGCUACAUCUGAUGAAGUCAAAUUGAUAAAUAAACCCCCCUCUUCUACUUUAA
Molecule: long non-coding RNA, 1867 nt
Organism: Elgaria multicarinata webbii
Lineage: Eukaryota; Metazoa; Chordata; Lepidosauria; Squamata; Anguidae
Exons: 2
Source: RefSeq, a predicted model, not a curated record